This is a long non-coding RNA of Oncorhynchus masou masou (cherry salmon), 1111 nucleotides long. RefSeq lists it as uncharacterized. The record is from RefSeq and is a predicted model, not a curated record. The transcript has 3 exons. NCBI's taxonomy places the organism in Eukaryota, Metazoa, Chordata, Actinopteri, Salmoniformes, Salmonidae.
ACAUCCCAAAGGCUUUUCAUCCUAUCUAUGUCAUGACAGCCCAAAGGCUUUUCAUCCUAUCUAUGUCAUGACAGCCCAAAGGCUUAUGUCCUACUGUUUUCUGCUGUGGUUUAGCCGUUAAACCCAUGCCAGGCCCUGGUGCGCAGACUGUCUGUCAUUAAUCUGGAGAACUUCAGGAGACAGUACGCACGACGGAGAUGGAAGAUGUCCAUCAGGAUUGUGUCUCUGUGUAACCACCUGACCAGGAUGAUGAGAAAAGGGCAGGAACAACAACAACAACAACAACAACAACAACAACAGGACCAGAGGAGCUGUGACAGCGACAACGAGGAAGAGACCAGGAAGACGAGACUACAGACCAGGAAGAGGAGUAACACUUCCUGAAGACAACAACCAAUCAAAAUGCCACCGUUCCUCCAUUCCACUUCCUGAAGUCAACAACCAACCAAAACACCACCGUUCCUCCAUUCCACUUCCUGAAGUCAACAACCAACCAAAACACCACCAUUCCUCCAUUCCACUUCCUGAAGUCAACAACCAACCAAAACACCACCAUUCCUCCAUUCCACUUCCUGAAGUCAACAACCAAGCACUAUUUAAAUCCAGUUUUCUAUGAAGUUAUAGUCUUUUCUCAGUGAAAGGUUAUAGACAUUAAGUCUUUUUUUUAAUGAUACUUCUGUAUGUUAGCUAGCUUUUUAUAAAUCUCUUUACAGUGUAGUGGUUGUAUAUGGCGGGACAUACAAGACAGCAGAAUGAAUCCGUUUGGGUUCUUACUGUAUUUUACAUCAGUGUUGCAUGUAUAAAAUAUGUUUUCCUAUUAGAUUAUGUGUCACGCCCUGUUUAUUCUCUAUGUUGGUUGGGGCGUGACAGUGACUAGGGUGGGUUAUCUAGGUGAUUAAUGAUUUAUGUUGGCCUGGUAUGGUUCCCACAUUCAGAGGCAGCUGUUUAUUCGUUGUCUCUGAUUGGGGAUCAUAUUUAGGCAGCCAUUUCCCCUUUGUGCUUUGUGGGAUGUUGUGUAGGUAUAAUUGCCUGCGAGCUCUACUCUGAGCUUCAUGUUUUUUUCUUUUUUUUCUUUGAGUUUCUUUUCCACAAUAAAAGGAUGGAAACACCA